UCCGGAUGCACGCCAAACUCUGCCGCCUCCCGGAUACCGCUGGACGAGGCAGAGGCGGGGGACCCAGAGUUCCCGGGCAUUUUCUGCAUCAUGCACCCUUGGGGUGAAGCCGACACGUGAGAUUCCGUGCGGCCGGAUGUCCUCAUCCGAACCCGACAGCUAACUCCGCAGGCGUUGAGAGGCACU
Molecule: small RNA, 186 nt
Filed under: Arthrobacter sp.
Lineage: Bacteria; Bacillati; Actinomycetota; Actinomycetes; Micrococcales; Micrococcaceae
Description: c-di-AMP sequence
Rfam family: c-di-AMP riboswitch aptamer (ydaO/yuaA leader) (bases 28-186)
About the family: This family represents a conserved RNA structure found upstream of the ydaO and yuaA genes in Bacillus subtilis and related genes in other bacteria.
Source: RNAcentral